RNAcentral lists this ribosomal RNA (438 nucleotides) under Triticum aestivum (bread wheat). RNAcentral describes it as "partial small subunit ribosomal RNA". The record is from RNAcentral. Lineage: Eukaryota; Viridiplantae; Streptophyta; Magnoliopsida; Poales; Poaceae.
AUGAUGAAGGACAAAUAUGAGGCUGAGCUGAGCAAAAGAGAAAGUCAAAUCGUCGAUCUGCAAGAAAACCUGAAGUCCCAACAAGCCGAAACCUUGAAGGCAAAAGAGGAAUUAACCAACGCUUUAAGCGUCAUGGAGAAGCUUAAGGAGGGCUACAACAAAGAGCGGGCGGAUUGGGCCACUGAGAAAGCCGCUUUAACUCAACGAGCGGAGAAUGCCGAAGCUGCACUCAAACCGGUGGUGGAUGAAUUAACCAGUAUAAAACGGCAAGUUCAUGCCAUGACCGCUGCUGUCUUUGGAACACACAUUGGUCACUUGGGAUCAGAUGUGCGGAAGAAGUUGAAAGCCGCCUAUACAUUGAUAGAACAACUGUAUACUGGUGCGCAACGGAUCAUCUUCACUGCUUCCCACGACAACCCGCCGCCCACCUUGAUCUAG